CUGGAAACGGUGAUUAAUACCGGAUACUCCUUCUUGUUAUAAGACAAGUCGGGAAAGUCUUUCGCUAAGGGAUCAGUCUAUGUUCCAUCAGCUUGUUGGUGAGGUAAUGGCUCAACAAGGCUAUGACGGAUAUCUGGUUUGAGAGGAUGAUCAGACACACUGGAACUGAGACACGGUCCAGACUCCUACGGGAGGCAGCAGUGAGGAAUAUUGCACAAUGGAGGAAACUCUGAUGCAGCAACGCCGCGUGGAGGAUGACGCAUUUCGGUGUGUAAACUCCUUUUAUUAGGGAAGAUAAUGACGGUACCUAAUGAAUAAGCACCGGCUAACUCCGUGCCAGCAGCCGCGGUAAUACGGAGGGUGCAAGCGUUACUCGGAAUCACUGGGCGUAAAGGG
Molecule: ribosomal RNA, 396 nt
Filed under: uncultured bacterium
Lineage: Bacteria
Description: bacterial SSU rRNA
Rfam family: Bacterial small subunit ribosomal RNA
Source: RNAcentral